AGAUUUAGUGUUUAUGAUUCAAGUCAAACUAUACGAUGCAGUCAACGUAUAGAAUAUUAAAGAUAAGAAAUGCCAUAAGUCUAUCUAGUUAAGAGAAGUGAAUAUGCAUAUUAAUGAAUAUGCAUAUGCGCACAUGCUUGCAUAUAUAUAUGGCCGAUUUGAUUCUUGCUGACAUCUAGAGAUCUUAACUACUAGCUAAUCUAAUCUACACAACGAAUAUAUAUAUUUCUUGUAAUGCAAGUUUGGGAAAUAUAUAGUUUUAAAAGUAGGUACGUAUCUUCCCAAAAACCCAUCUCAAGGCUCUCAAAGUUGCAAAGGUUGACCAAGAAAUAAAGAAAUAUAAAUUACAAAGAGAGAU
This 358-nucleotide long non-coding RNA is filed under the name Arabidopsis thaliana (thale cress). Its description in RNAcentral is "ncRNA (AT2G04725)". Lineage: Eukaryota; Viridiplantae; Streptophyta; Magnoliopsida; Brassicales; Brassicaceae. The record is from RNAcentral.